Molecule: transfer-messenger RNA, 388 nt
Filed under: Clostridiales bacterium
Lineage: Bacteria; Bacillati; Bacillota; Clostridia; Eubacteriales
Rfam family: transfer-messenger RNA
About the family: Bacterial tmRNA, also known as 10Sa RNA or SsrA, is named for its dual tRNA and mRNA-like properties. Its role is to liberate the mRNA from a stalled ribosome.
Source: RNAcentral
GGGGGCGUACCGGUUUCGACGGGGAUGUUGCAGUAGGGAUAGCGGGCAGCGGGGCGAGGCGCUUUAAACACAGCACUUAUAAAUUAACUAACAACACAGAAUACAGAGCAACAGCUCUUGCUGCGUAAUUAAACGCAGCCGUCCACUCCGGAGGGACUACGGACCGGAGUCGGGUGUCAAGAAACCCGCUUAGUUCGGGGAGUAGUGAACGUGAACACGGUAAGCUUUGCCCGUGUCACGCAUAAUGAAGCUACCGAAGCAUGCAGCCUGUUUGCCGGCGUCAUGACAAGGGAAAUUUUCGGCUAAGCCGAAAGAAAAGACAAACUGCGCCCGGAGAAGUCUGUAUGAAUGCGUUUUCGGACAGGGGUUCAACUCCCCUCGCCUCCAC